CUGCCUCAUACAGGGGGAUAACAGUUAGAAAUGACUGCUAAUACCGCAUAAGCGCACAGGACCGCAUGGUCCGAUGUGAAAAACUCCGGUGGUAUGAGAUGGACCCGCGUCUGAUUAGCUGGUUGGUGAGGUAACGGCCCACCAAGGCGACGAUCAGUAGCCGGCCUGAGAGGGUGAACGGCCACAUUGGGACUGAGACACGGCCCAAACUCCUACGGGAGGCAGCAGUGGGGAAUAUUGCACAAUGGGGGAAACCCUGAUGCAGCGACGCCGCGUGAAGGAAGAAGUAUUUCGGUAUGUAAACUUCUAUCAGCAGGGAAGAAAAUGACGGUACCUGACUAAGAAGCCCCGGCUAACUACGUGCCAGCAGCCGCGGUAAUACGUAGGGGGCAAGCGUUAUCCGGAUUUACUGGGUGUAAAGGGAGCGUAGGCGGUUUAGCAAGUCAGAAGUGAAAGCCCGGGGCUCAACUCCGGGACUGCUUUUGAAACUGUUGAACUAGAUUGCAGGAGAGGUAAGUGGAAUUCCUAGUGUAGCGGUGAAAUGCGUAGAUAUUAGGAGGAACACCAGUGGCGAAGGCGGCUUACUGGACUGUAAAUGACGCUGAGGCUCGAAAGCGUGGGGAGCAAACAGGAUUAGAUACCCUGGUAGUCCACGCCGUAAAC
This 663-nucleotide ribosomal RNA is filed under the name uncultured bacterium. RNAcentral describes it as "bacterial SSU rRNA". It matches the Rfam family "Bacterial small subunit ribosomal RNA", at positions 126 to 807 of the family's 1533-position model. The record is from RNAcentral.